RNAcentral lists this long non-coding RNA (457 nucleotides) under Rosa chinensis. RNAcentral's name for it is "sRNA RchiOBHm_Chr1g0333201". The record is from RNAcentral. Lineage: Eukaryota; Viridiplantae; Streptophyta; Magnoliopsida; Rosales; Rosaceae.
GGGGAGGAAAACAAAUUGGCGCUAAUCCAAAAGAAAAAGAAAAAUAAAGAUAAACCCUAAGGAGAACAGAAUCCUCUCUCUACUGGUUUUCUCCUCUACUCCAACUGCGUCUCUGUGGCAUCCUCUCUCAAUCUCACAUCUUUGAAGCUCUCUCAGACCACUAUCUCUCACGGAGGGUAAUACGAACGCGCAUCCUGGUCACCUCCUUCACUUCGCCUUCAGCAAAACACACAAUUGCAGCUCUCAUAUCUGUUCCUCCACCACCGCCAACCACACGGUCAAGGAAAGAGUCUGGAGCAUUUCCAAAAUUUAGCUCAAGUAGUUCAAGAUAUUAAGGUUAGACGACAAUUCGAUCCUCAAACAGAGCCCCAAAAUUAGUCAGUGUCAUCACCAGUUUGAUUAUGCACAAGAACCCUAGAUGCACUCCCGGCGUGUGCGUAGGCUAGCGUAGAUGUGA